UACGAGGGGGGCGAGCGUUGUUCGGAAUUAUUGGGCGUAAAGGGUGCGUAGGCGGUUUGGUAAGUCUGAUGUGAAAUCUAUGGGCUCAACUCAUAGUCUGCAUCGGAAACUGCCGGGCUUGAGUGUGGGAGAGGUGAGUGGAAUUCCUGGUGUAGCGGUGAAAUGCGUAGAUAUCAGGAGGAGCACCUGUGGCGAAAGCGGCUCACUGGACCAUAACUGACGCUGAUGCACGAAAGCUAGGGGAGCAAACAGG
This 253-nucleotide ribosomal RNA is filed under the name uncultured bacterium. RNAcentral's name for it is "partial 16S ribosomal RNA". It matches the Rfam family "Bacterial small subunit ribosomal RNA", at positions 524 to 776 of the family's 1533-position model. The record is from RNAcentral.